GGAUCAUUACAGAGCCACUCAUGCCCUCCGGGUAGAUCUCCCACCCAUUGCUAUAACUACUCUCGUUGCUUUGGCGGGCCGCUGGGCCCUGCCCGGCCGCCGGCCCCGGCUGGCGCGUGCCCGCCAGAGACCUCACAGACUCUGAAUGUUAGUGUCGUCCGAGUAACUAUAUAAUCGUUAAAACUUUCAACAACGGAUCUCUUGGUUCUGGCAUCGAUGAAGAACGCAGCGAAAUGCGAUAAGUAAUGCGAAUUGCAGAAUUCAGUGAGUCAUCGAAUCUUUGAACGCACAUUGCGCCCUGUGGUAUUCCGCAGGGCAUGCCUGUUCGAGCGUCAUUUCAACCCUCAAGCCUCGCUUGGUGUUGGGCCCUGCCCGCCGCGGCCGGCCCUAAAGACAGUGGCGGCGCCGCCUGGCCCUCAGCGUAGUACAUCUCUCGCUCCAGGGGUCCGGCGGCAGCCUGCCAGAACCCCCCAACUCUGUGGUUGACCUCGGAUCAGGUAGGGAUACCCGCUGAACUUAA
Molecule: ribosomal RNA, 520 nt
Filed under: uncultured fungus
Lineage: Eukaryota; Fungi
Description: eukaryotic LSU rRNA
Rfam family: 5.8S ribosomal RNA (bases 182-335)
Source: RNAcentral